UACGGGGGGAGCAAGCGUUGUUCGGAUUUACUGGGCGUAAAGGGCGCGUAGGCGGCCAGCACAAGUCAGUUGUGAAAUCUCCGAGCUUAACUCGGAACGGUCAACUGAUACUGUGCGGCUAGAGUGCGGAAGGGGCAACUGGAAUUCUUGGUGUAGCGGUGAAAUGCGUAGAUAUCAAGAGGAACACCUGCGGCGAAGGCGGGUUGCUGGGCCGACACUGACGCUGAGGCGCGAAAGCCAGGGGAGCGAAUGGG
RNAcentral lists this ribosomal RNA (254 nucleotides) under uncultured bacterium. Its description in RNAcentral is "partial 16S ribosomal RNA". It matches the Rfam family "Bacterial small subunit ribosomal RNA", at positions 524 to 776 of the family's 1533-position model. The record is from RNAcentral.